GGUGAGUUCAGAUUUCCUUAAUCACCCCUUCAAGAUUCAUAUCUAAGUACUCUUGCAACCAAUAUGAUUAUACUACCUCAUUUCCUAAUCUUGUGUUGUUUUUAAGGUUAUGCACAGUUUAAUUUGACUAAACACCAUUAUUUAAAAUUGAGUAACAUUAAAGAGAGACAAUGGUAGUAAUGGGUGAGAAUUAAGAGUUUUGAAAAGUAAAAAAAGUGGAAAAUUAAAUCAACUAAAGAUUGAACUUGGUCACAGUUAUUUUCCUCUGCCCCUUUUUAAUUUGGUUAAAACAGGUAGGAAUGGCAAGCGCCUUGGACACCUUAUGUGGCCAGUCAUAUGGAGCAAAGCAGUAUCAAAUUUUAGGCAUACACAUGCAGAGGGCCAUGUUCAUUCUUAUGAUUGUAAGCAUUCCACUUGCAGUUAUUUGGGCAAACACAAGAUCCAUUCUUGUUUUCCUUGGCCAAGAUCCUGAAAUAUCUACAGCAGCUGGGGAGUAUGCCAAGUUAAUGGUACCAAGUCUUUUUGGUUAUGGUCUUCUGCAGUGCCUCAACAGGUUCUUGCAAACCCAAAAUAUUGUAUUUCCAAUGAUGCUCAUCUCAGGAGUGACUACGUCACUACACUUUUUAAUAUGUUGGAUUAUGGUAUUCAAGUCUGGACUAGGGUACAGAGGGGCUGCUGUAGCAAAUUCUAUCUCUUAUUGGGUAAAUGUUUUCAUACUCUCACUUUAUGUCAAGUUUUCUCCCUCGUGUAAAAAAACAUGGACCGGCUUUUCCAGAAAGGCACUGCACAGCCUCCCCACUUUCUAGAGGCUUGCCAUUCCUUCAGCUGCUAUGAUUUGGUAAUUUCUUUGUAACAUACUUCAAUAGCACCUAUAACAGACCAAUAUCUUCUCUUCUGUUUUAUGAGUUGUUACUAUUUUUAACAUUACUAUAAUCCUAAUUCUGUUUUCAAUUUUUGUUAUUAUUAAUAUUAUGGUGAACAGCUUGGAAAUGUGGUCGUUUGAAAUGAUGGUUCUCCUUUCCGGUAUUCUUCCAAAUCCAAAGUUGGAAACAUCAGUGCUUUCUAUCUGGUCGGUUUCAUAUUUCAGAUGUUUUUCACAUUUGUUUCAUAUUUUCAUCUACAUAUUAAUUGUGGGUGACUUGUGUGCUUUUGUCAGCUUGAAUACAGCAUCAACUGUUUGGAUGAUUCCUUUUGGACUCAGUGGAUCUGUAAGGUAAGGAUUUCCCUGAACUUAUAAGUUAUAUCUAUCAAACAUUCAGUUUCUUCCUAAUUUUCUUUGUUGAAACUAGAAGUAAAACAUGGUAAGUUGAAGAUAAAAUCUAUAGAAUAUAAUUGAGGGUGUUGUUACAUGUCCAAAAGUUGUAACGUAUUUUUGGACUACAUUUUUUUUUUGCAAUUUCCCCCUUGAUUUGGUGUAAACAAUAUCAUUAAUGCUUUGCAUGAAAUUCUUGCAGCAUUCGGGUCUCAAAUGAACUUGGAGCUGGUCAUCCACGUGCUGCACGUUUAGCAGUGUCUGUUGUCUCAGUCCUAGCCAUUGUUGAGGGUAGCUUAGUUGCGACAGUGUUGAUACUAAUACGCAAUAUAUGGGGCUAUGCAUAUAGUAAUGAAGUUGAAGUUGUCAAAUAUGUAGCAACUAUGAUGCCAAUUCUUGCAAUUUCCCACUUUAUAGAUGCAUUCCAGAGCGUUCUUUCAGGUUUUUCCUAUUUCUCUUUAUUACAUUUAUUGUCUACAUAGGAGCUAUGAUGUUUGUAGAUUGGAAGAAAUCAUAAAAAUUAUAUGUUACUUAAUUGAUUUUCCAAAAAUAAGUAAGCAAAAAAUCUGAAGUGAAAAAUUAGCUAGCUCCUAUAAUUUACAAAAUAUCACUUCAAAACAUUUUUAGUUGCUAGUUUACUUGGUAACUUUACCAUUCACCCUGAGGCUUGAACUAAGACGAAAGAAAUGUAAAAGAAGGCCUUCCUAUUUAAAGAAUAAAUAUGACAAACGGGGAAGUGGAAAGUGCAAAUAAGAAUUUAAAAAGUAACACAGAUAAGUUGAAAGCAUAUUUCAUCCAAACAAUUACAAUUGAUCUUAUUUCUUACUAUGUCAACUAUAAUGCAGGAACUGCUAGAGGAUGUGGUUGGCAGACAAUUGGAGCAUUUGUCAAUCUGGGGUCAUAUUAUUUAGUUGGAAUUCCAUCAGCUAUUGUGUUAGCUUUUGUAUUGCAUCUUGGCGGCAAGGUAAAAAUUGGACCAUUAUUUUGUAGCAUAGUUUUGAGGCUGAUGAUUCAGUUUUACAAAGAUUACAAUAAUCUGAUUUGGUCCUACCUGCUAAAUAAUUUUUUAUGUAGGGUUUGUGGCUGGGGAUCGUAUGUGCACUCACUGUUCAACUAGUUUCUCUAAUGAUCAUUACUACACGUACUGAUUGGGAGCAAGAGGUGAUGGCUUACAUUUUUUUUUCCUUUGUGAUCUCUUCAAUCAUCCUUUCAUUUUUUGUGAUGAGGGAGCUGACAUUUCUUAUUUUUCUGACUCCUCAUCUAGGAAAAGAAGGCCACAGAUAGAGUCUACGACUCAAUAAUUCCAGAGACCACAGUCUCAUGAAGCUGCAAUAUCUCUGCAGAUACGCAUUCUGAAUAAAGUCUAUUUGGACGAAAGCAAUGAGUUUUGUUUAAGUCUUUGAGGUAGAAAGUGUAGGUCCAGUUUUACAUGGUCUAAAUGAUAGAUCUUGAUAAUAUAGAAUAGUGUACAAUAUAUGAUGUAGCUGGCCAUUGGAUUUGUUGGGGGACAUCUCAAAUUUUAUCAAGGGAAAAGAAGAUUUUGGUGUACUGUAAGUGUGUAAAAGUCAGUCAUUAUCUGAAUUGGUUUUAUACUAGAUACAAUAUUGUAUGAUUACACAAGUUUAUUAAUAUUUUUAGUUGGAUUAAUAUUUUAUGACAGUGGUCUUAAAAACUCUACAACAUUUAUUAUAAUAUGAAUACAUAAAGAACACUGAAAACUUAACCUUGUCUUAGAAGAGUCAUCAUAUGAGUAUAAUGAAGUGUUUGUUAUUAACUCUGUUGAAUCAAAUGUUGAAAGUACACAAAGUCCUCCGGAUCCAUCACUUCACCUUACAACAUUGAGCACAGACAACAUACUGGGCAUGAUAUUGAGUAUAUUAUGUUUCCUUGCACUCAAUUCUGCAACCACCAAGUUAGACUCCCCUGUCAGCAGAACACUUAAGAUCUGACAUAGCCAACAAAAUAGAUUUCCAUCUGGGACUUUGACAGCAUCUGAAGCAUAACAAAAUGCCUCUAAAAUAUCUGCUACGUAAUAAUACUCCGCUAUACCUAACCCUCCUGAAAAUACUUAGCAACUAACCCAAAAUCUGUACAAAUAUUCAACCAACAUUGGUGAGGGAACCACUUAGUAUAGAUUUCAAGCAAGCAAAAGGUUCCUUAACCCACUCAUAGAAAGAAAAUAUAAACUCCCUUCACAUUUUCUCUAAUUUAUUACUAAUCAAUGGCUCUAAUUUGUAAGAAGUCAUUUUGAAAGGCACUUGCUUGUUCACAAAAUAAAGUUUAUUGGUAUUGAUUAUUCUAUAUCAACCUGUUCACCAAACUUCAUAUAGAAUUAAUCCCUUGAGGCAGCAAGAAAAACUUGAGAAAUCAAAUUGAUCAAUUUAAACAUUCUCAACAUCAAUUCUAAUUUGUUAAAAGGCACAUGCUCAUAAAACAAAAUAAUAAGUUUGUUUAUCCUAUAUUAACUUGUUCACUAAACUUCACAUAGAAUUAGUCCCUUGAGGCAGCAAGCAAAACUUGACAAAUCGAAUUGAUCAAUUUAAGCAUUUAAACAUCCAUUCUAAUUUUAUAAAACUCAUUUUAAAAGACACUUUUUCACCCAAAAAAAAAAUAUAAUUAACAGAUGUGUUUAUCCUACAUUAACUUGUUCACCAAACGUCACAUAGAGUUAGUCCAAGGCAGCAAAGAAAAACCUGACAAAUCAAAUUGAUCAAUUUAAGCAUCCUCAACAGACAUUCUAAUAUUUUAAGAGUAAUAACAGAUUUGUUUAUCCUAUAUUAACUUGUUCACCAAACUUCAAAUAGAAUUAGUCCCUUAAGGCAGCUAGCAAAACUUGGCAAAUCAAAUUGAUCAAUUUAAGCAUUCUCAAAAGCCAUUCUAAUUUUUAAAAGGCACUUGUUCACAAAACAAAAUAAAGAUAUGUUAUCCUAUACUGUUCAUUCAACUUCACAUAUGUUAACUUGUUCAAUUGUUCUUUUUUAAAAUUCUACAUCCAUUCAAUUUUUCAAAAAGUAAUUUCUUAAAGGAACUUGUUCACAAAACAAAAUAACAGAUUUGUUUAUUAAUCCUAUGUUAACUUGUUCACCAAACUUCACAUAGAAUUAGUCCUUAAGGCUGCAAACUAUGUCAAGGGCAACAGAAAGAACAGAAGUUCUUGAAGAAGUGAAGAAACAGUUAUGGCUAGCAGGACCUUUAAUAGCUGUGGGCCUCCUAAAUUAUUUCCUAAAUGUUAUAUCUGUCAUGUUUGUUGGACAUCUCAGUGAGUUGGAUCUCUCAGGUGCUUCCAUGGCCACUUCUUUUGCAUCAGUGACAGGUUUCACUUUAUUGGUGAGUUCGGUUUUCCUUAAACUCCCCUUUCAGAUUGAUAGCUUGUAGUAUAGUACCCUUUUUAAUGAAUAAGAAUCUCAGUUCUGUGUUGGUCGGUUGUGAAAGGUUAUAUAUAGCUCUGAGCACUAUUUAUUCUUGAUAGAAUCUAGUCUUACAUUGAGUUUAUACACUCAAUUUCUACACUCGCUUAUUACAUGCAAGUCUUUUUUUUCAUAGAAUGUAAUAAAAAGAUGAUGUGCUUUAUAAAGUUUUCCUUUAUUAUUUUGUUUGCUUAAUUUUGAAGAUCAUUAACAUUUUGGAACUAAGAACUGUCAGAGAAAUAUAUAUAAAUUCAAUACAAUUAGUUUAAAAUAAAGCAGCUAAGCUGAACUAAUAUCAAUUAUUGUGAGUGUCAGUCUGUCAGUGUGUGAAGUGUAUAAUGUUUACCCUACAAAUUGCAAACUUAUCUUUUCAAGGAAACAACUAAUAAGUAGGCACGCAAUGAAAUGUGAUCACAGUUAUUUUAUUGUUUCUCUGAUGAUUAUUGGUUAAAACAGACAGGAAUGGCAAGUGCCUUGGACACCUUAUGUGGCCAGUCAUAUGGAGCAAAGCAGUAUCAGAAUUUAGGCAUAU
Molecule: long non-coding RNA, 5191 nt
Filed under: Lotus japonicus
Lineage: Eukaryota; Viridiplantae; Streptophyta; Magnoliopsida; Fabales; Fabaceae
Description: long non-coding RNA (LJAP_LNC000913)
Source: RNAcentral